Triticum aestivum (bread wheat) is the source of this 136-nucleotide non-coding RNA. Lineage: Eukaryota; Viridiplantae; Streptophyta; Magnoliopsida; Poales; Poaceae. The record is from Rfam.
GAAAUACUCCCAUCCGUCCUAAAAUUCUUGUCUUAAAUAUGUCUAGAUACGUAUGUAUCUAAUACUAAAACGUGACUUGAUACAUCCGUAUUUAGUCAAAUUUAAGACAAGAAUUUUGGGACGGAGGGAGUACAAG